Molecule: transfer RNA, 72 nt
Filed under: Stegodyphus mimosarum
Lineage: Eukaryota; Metazoa; Arthropoda; Arachnida; Araneae; Eresidae
Rfam family: tRNA
About the family: Transfer RNA (tRNA) molecules are approximately 80 nucleotides in length.
Source: Rfam by way of RNAcentral
GCCUUCGUGGUGUAAUGGUCAGCGCACUUGAGCGUAUUCGAGAGGUCCGAGGUUCGACUCUCGGCGAGGGCA